CGCCCCCUGAAUAAAUAAGGAUAGGGGGUCCUGCCUGCCCAGUGACCAAAAGUUAAACGGCCGCGGUAUCUUGACCGUGCGAAGGUAGCAUAAUCACUUGUCUCCUAAAUAGAGACUGGUAUGAAUGGCAAGACGGAGCUUUACUGUCUCCUCCUCUUUAAUCUGAAAUUCACAACCCCGUGAAGAGGCGAGGAUUCAUUCGUAAGACGAGAAGACCCUGUCGAGCUGCAGUAAAACUUUAACUAUUAUUUACCUCUAGUCUCACCUAAUACUAUAAAAUUAGUGGAUACUGAGGCAUAGCAAAUUGAAAUAAACUUUGAUUGGGGCAAUCCCGGAGAAAGAAAAUCCUCCGUUACUAUAUUGGUUUUAUAUAACCUAACUUAGAAGAACUAUAAUUCUAAAAUCAUAAAAUGAAGAUGUGAUCCACUUAUAGUGAUCAAAAGAACAAGUUACCGCAGGGAUAACAGCGUUAUCUUUUCUGAGAGUUCAUAUUGACGAAAAGGUUUGCGACCUCGAUG
This 518-nucleotide ribosomal RNA is filed under the name Spatangus purpureus. RNAcentral describes it as "partial 16S ribosomal RNA". It matches the Rfam family "Bacterial large subunit ribosomal RNA", at positions 1817 to 2531 of the family's 2925-position model. Lineage: Eukaryota; Metazoa; Echinodermata; Echinoidea; Spatangoida; Spatangidae. The record is from RNAcentral.